GGGUACCUUGCUGGAGAUCCCUGCCUGCGGUUUUCCAAAGCCUUACCCUUAAAACUUCAGAGGACACAGCCAGCAUUUUAACUCGCAGCACUUCAGAUGUCCACGGCUUGGCAGGGCUGCUCAGCUCCGUGCCCUGCGGCUGCCCAGCACCCAGGAGUGCUGCAGGAGUGUGGAUCUUCAGGCCGCCCCGAGUCCAACAGCAGGGAUCCCUGGGGGCGGUGGCACAGAACUGCGUCUGUUGGACCAUGAGGUCUGGAUCACUGAAUGCCCGCAAUAUGUGACGCUGCCUCUGCCAAAGGCAGUUUGGAGUGGGCUGCGUUUGCAGUGAUUGUAAGCUGGCAGGAUUGCCAGGAAUGUGUAAACAGCGGCACAGCAGGGGAGGGGCUUCACUUCUGGGUCCUUUUGGAGCACGUAGAAAAGCCCUGGAAGGGUUUUUUUCCACCCCCAAAAAAACAAACUUAAAUAUCUGUAAUGAAUUAUGCCAUUUGUUUUGCCUUUAGAUUCUCAUUUCUUAUCUAUAAGCAUUGCAAAAUACGAGAUUCUGAAAAGAAUACCUGUGGUUGUUGCGGUGCUCUCUUGUGAAAGGAAACUGUAGCCCAGAGUGAGGCAUUUGGAGAUGUCAUUUAAGAGCUUGAAAUGCUGUUUAAUUUUUCUCUUGCUUUGGAGAAUUCUUUAAUCUCACUUCACAACUGCAGGUGUGCUACUCUUAACCUUGGAUGUGUGGAAAUAUGCUCAGGUUUAUCUGAAGUUUCAGCAGGUUUUUAAAUUAAAAUGAGUGAUGCUCCUUGGCUCUAAGAGAGGUAUUAAUAAAAUCUAAGCUAAACUGGA
Phasianus colchicus (ring-necked pheasant) is the source of this 828-nucleotide long non-coding RNA. RefSeq lists it as uncharacterized. The record is from RefSeq and is a predicted model, not a curated record. NCBI's taxonomy places the organism in Eukaryota, Metazoa, Chordata, Aves, Galliformes, Phasianidae.